RNAcentral lists this ribosomal RNA (806 nucleotides) under Clostridioides difficile. Its description in RNAcentral is "bacterial LSU rRNA". It matches the Rfam family "Bacterial large subunit ribosomal RNA", at positions 685 to 1497 of the family's 2925-position model. Lineage: Bacteria; Bacillati; Bacillota; Clostridia; Peptostreptococcales; Peptostreptococcaceae. The record is from RNAcentral.
UAACUGAGCGUUCAGUUACUUGACGUAGACCCGAAACCGGGCGACCUACCCAUGAGCAGGAUGAAGCGAAAGUAAAAUUUCGUGGAGGUCCGAACCCACGAGCGUUGAAAAGCUCGGGGAUGACUUGUGGGUAGCGGUGAAAUUCCAAUCGAGCCCGGAGAUAGCUGGUUCUCCCCGAAAUAGCUUUAGGGCUAGCCUCAAGGUGAGAGAUACGGAGGUAGAGCACUGAAUGUCCUAGGGGGUAUUGCACCUACCGAAGACUAUCAAACUCCGAAUGCCGUCAUCUUAUACUUGGGAGUCAGACUGUGGGUGAUAAGAUUCAUAGUCGAAAGGGCAACAGCCCAGAUCGUCAGCUAAGGUCCCUAAAUGUAAGUUAAGUGGUAAAGGAUGUGGGAUUGCACAGACAACCAGGAUGUUGGCUUAGAAGCAGCCACUCAUUCAAAGAGUGCGUAAUAGCUCACUGGUCGAGUGAUCCUGCGCCGAAGAUUUCCGGGGCUAAAACUUACUACCGAAGCUACGGCAUCAGUAAUGAUGGGUAGGGGAGCUUCCCAUACGGGUUGAAGCAUGACCGUAAGGACAUGUGGACAGUAUGGGAGUGAGAAUGUUGGCAUGAGUAGCGAGAUGUGGGUGAGAAUCCCACAGGCCGUAAACCCAAGGUUUCCAGGGGAAGGUUCGUCCGCCCUGGGUUAGUCGGGACCUAAGCUGAGGCCGAAAGGCGUAGGUGAUGGACAACAGGUUGAUAUUCCUGUACUACCGAUAACCGUUUGAGAGAAGGGAUGACACAGUAGGAUAAGCUAAGCACACUG